CCGGUUUCGACCGGGUUUCCGUACGUCCGCCACGGUGCGGACAGCUGUCCUGGCUCAUGUUACUACUACUCGCAUAGAAAAUCGUAUGCAGAAUGAAUCUGUACUAUCCAGACUUAAUCCAUCGACGGAUAUACUUACGGUUGUAAUUUUUAGCAAAAUUAUAUGCGGACAUGUGCAUGGGAGAAAUGCUAGGGUUAGCGGGGAGGGA
This 208-nucleotide long non-coding RNA is filed under the name Elaeis guineensis (African oil palm). RNAcentral describes it as "long non-coding RNA (EGUI_LNC054073)". The record is from RNAcentral. Lineage: Eukaryota; Viridiplantae; Streptophyta; Magnoliopsida; Arecales; Arecaceae.